This 1292-nucleotide long non-coding RNA is filed under the name Equus caballus (horse). RNAcentral describes it as "lncRNA (ENSECAG00000057648.1)". The record is from RNAcentral. Lineage: Eukaryota; Metazoa; Chordata; Mammalia; Perissodactyla; Equidae.
UGAGAUGGAGAGAGGGUCCUGAUUAUCCAGGUGGGCCCAAUAUAAUCAGAGGGUCCUUAAAAGUGGAAGAGGGCUGCAGGAGAGUCGGUGUCGGAGGGAUGUGGCAUGCAAAAGACUAUCUACCAUGGCUGGCUUUAAAGAUGGAAGGAGGCCGUGAGCCAACGGAUGCAGCAUUUCCUAGAAGGUGGAAAAGAACAUAGAAGCUGAAAGACCGGGAGAGAAGGAUCACUUUCGUAUAGGCCUGGUAACCCCAUGACUGCCUGCAAUCAAGAAAAUUGUACCACAUAAACCACUGUUCAGAGAGAAUGCUGUUCAUUUGCCAGUAUCUUUUUUUUUCUUCUGGGCACGCAGCUAGGCUGUAUUUCCCAGUCUCCUCUGCUGUUAGGUGGAGCCAUAUAACUGAGUUCUGGCCAACGGAACAAGAGGCAAUCAUGGGUCUAGUGGCUGGAUGUGGAGAUCUGGUGAACUCCAAGACCCUGGAGAUUGGUGAAGCCCCUAGACUGGAAGCAUCCUGGGUUCCUAAGUUGCCAUGUGGAAUAAAGCUACCCAGGAGACCCACCCAACCACAGACACCUGUGUUGGACUGUUUCAGGGCUCUUGCAAUAUCCCCAGCUCCGUUUUAAUGAGUCAGCGAUUUCCUUGAAAUGGCAUGAAGUCAAAGCAGGGCUUCCAGGCUGCCAGCACAGUGACACUGAGAAGCCAAGUCACCAAGACUAGAGCUGAAAGAGAAUCCAAGAAACCAUUUGGCCCAACUUUCUGGCUUCAGGCAAAUAAGAUGUUCCAUCAGCAGAAGAGUUUUAGAAGAUCUAGACAGCCUUUGGCAAGGAAUGGUGUCUCUCUAGUCAUUGUGUUAAGCAAAAAGAGAAAACGCUGUACAAGGAAAGCAAAUUGCAGUUAAAAUUAAAGUGUUAUCCCUAUGAAGGAACAGUCCAUCGAAUGGUACCUACAUCAGGACAAGACUUUCCCCUAUUCAUUACCUGUUUCUAAUUUGUCUCCAGUGUCAACUCUUUUCCCCAAAAACUAGGCUAACAAUUGCCAUCAAUUCACUUGGCACAGAGUGUCCUAUUGCCAAGGUGUUAAAAAAAAUAUAUAUUUUUUUAAAAAUUUAAUUUUCUCUACAAAGAAUGUUUAAAUAACAAGAGAAAGUCACCAUCUUAACACAUAUCCUACCAUUUUAAAACAACCACUUUUAGCAUCUUGGUGCAUUUUGGUCUUUUGGGGGUAUAGUCCAGAAAAAUUGCUUUUGGUCCAAGUAUCCCUAUACAGUACUUUAGUUUGCUUUUUCCGUUAAU